This is an RNA transcript of Mandrillus leucophaeus (drill), 3804 nucleotides long. RefSeq lists it as uncharacterized. Lineage: Eukaryota; Metazoa; Chordata; Mammalia; Primates; Cercopithecidae. The transcript has 2 exons. The record is from RefSeq and is a predicted model, not a curated record.
AGCAUCUGUUUUUAUUGUAGUAUAUCAAAGUUAGGGAAAUGGGACUGGCAAGUAAAAAGUGGAAUUUAAUUUCAAUGUUAUAUGGGAACUCUGAUUUAAUUGGAAGCAAACUAGUUCAAAUUAGCAGGAAUUAUUUUAUUUUAUUUUUUCGAGAUGGAGUUUCGCUCUUAUGGAGUUUCGCUCUUGUUGGCCAGGCUGGAGUGCAAUGGCAUGAUCUCGGCUCACUGCAACCUCCACCUCCUGGGUUCAAGUGAUUCUCCUGCCUCAGCCUCCCGGGUAGCUGGGACUACAGGCGCCCGCCACGUUGCCUGGCUAAUUUUUUUGUAUUUUGUUAGAGACAGGGUUUCUCCAUGUUGGUCAGGCUGGUCUCGAACUCCCGACCUCAGGUGAUCCGCCUGCCUCGGCCUCCCAAAGUGAUGAUUUUAUUUUUAUUUUAAUUUUAUUAAUCUGCAUAUAGAUAAUGACUUUGUGAAGAGUGUGUGUUGUGUGCAAAACUUAAGAUAUUGGUUGAGAGUUAAAUACAUUAUUUUUAUAAUAUGUUGGGUAUAGUCUAGUUACUAAUGAUUUUUAAGUACUUUUAUAAAAAGUUCAUUUUUAAAAUUGUUUGUUUUUAAAAGCCAAUAUACACUGCAAAAUUAGGAACAGUAUUUUUAUUUAUUUAUACAAGACAUUGUGCCAGAGCAUACUAGUAAAACACCUUCAUGAAUGGGUAAUGUAAUCUCCCAGAAUUACAUUAAAAUUAUUUCUGAAAAGUAGCAAAGUCAUUACAUUUUACUUUUAAUGACCCAUACCUCACCAGCUCCUCGUCUUUUCUUCACUGUUGCCCUUAUUUUGAGGUAAUUUUUCCUUAAAAUAUAACUUACACACCACAUUUAGUAGAGGCAGUGACAGUGAUCUCAGUACCUAUCAGCUGUCCCCCUCCUCUGCCCCUCUUCAUCUCUUCUACCUUGUGACCAUUUCCCUUGCCCAUUCAUGUUCUCCUUUAUCUCUGCUUUUCUUUCUUAGCCAGGAUGCUUCCCCCACAACUCUCACUCCCAAAUUCUUUUAGAUAUACAUUUUUCUGGAUAUUGGCUGCUGAAAUCUGAAGCUCUGGUAAAGUUCCUAGUACGGGAGAUCAGUCCUGGAGGAGGCCUAGUUAACUAUUACAUUACAAAGACUCCUCAGAAAGUAAAGGAAAAUCACCUUCAAAACCACAAACCUUUACGUUGUCAAGUCUAACAUGAGUGUUUUUACAAAGUAUUUCUUUCUACCCAUUGUUCAAGAAUGUAAAUGUAGAAAAAAACACAAGACAGUUGGGUAGAUACACAUGCUUGAGGAAACUUGCUUUUACUGUUUUCCUACUUGUAUCCCCAGUUCAGUUGAAUUUACAAGGACCUACAAGAUGGUCAUGUUUGUCUUGGUAUGUGUCACCCCAAUUUUAGUGUUUCUUUUUUGAUUUUAAAUCAGUAAUUAUUCAGUGGAUUGUUUAUACUGUAUAAUGAAGUAACAAAACCAUUUCGGUUUGUAUGUUUUAAUUAACAGUUGUGCAAAUUCUUCCUGUUUGUUAGGUGCUCCCUUUGAAUAUUUUGUGAACUGUGUCAGAGGGAGAGGGGUGGUGGCUAGGAAGAGGGUCAGAAAGAAGCUAGAGGGAGGUCAGGAAACAGGGAGGAUGCAAAGCAGACAUCUACCCUGGUCACCCCAGGGUCAGGGUAUCUGUCCUUGUCUCAUGUUGAAUUCACAAAUUGGAUAUCACUUAGGCUUUGAAGGUGACAGCCAUCUCUGAUAGCUGAGCAUGAGUAAAGAAAGGUAGAGUGCCAAUGCAGAAAGGAAAAUAUUCAGCUUUCCUCUCUUAGAUCACACUUUGAAGAUGGCCUUCUGGAGACAAUCUGACGGGUUAAAACAGGAGCUGUUGGAAUUAUUCUAGCUGUAACUACAUAUCAGCUAUGUGUUGAUUGAUCCUAGAAAGAAAAUUUUUCAUUUUAGAUCUUGAUUGAAUUUAAGAUGUAUUUAUAUGCCUACAAAAAGUCUGUCUUGUUACUGUUGUAUAAAAUAAACCUAAUCUAUGGUUUCAUUUUUAAUCUAAAAAAAGUUGUGCCUUAACAAUAGGGCAUUGUAUGUUAAUAAGGGAAAACAAUCUUUUUAGUAGAUGGGGAAAAUAGGAACUUUUUGCCAUUAAAACUUAAGUUCUUGUGAUGUUUUUAAUAUUAUAGUUGGGGGAAGUUCAUUAAAAUUAAAUUGAAAUAAAAUUAUUUUUGCAUAACCUAGCAUUUACAACUAAAGUAUGUUUUUUAUAAGAACUGGCAUCUUGAUGUAUAUAGGUCUGAAAUAAUAUUUCACCUUUUGAUUUUUAAUUUUAAUAAUAUUAGACCAGGAUAGAUCACAUUUUUGCAAAUCUUAGUUUUAAAUAAAUUAUUUCGGUGUGCUGUUAGUCCUCUACAGUCAUUUUGGUUUAAAAAGUGACUUUAUUUAUGGUAGCAUAUCAAUAAUUUAUUAAUGUUAAAAAAUACUUGUGUAUGACAUUACAAACUGGUACAGUUCCUAAGGGGAGAGGAUUCUAAUUGAUAGGCAGUUCUGAGAGGGCAGGAAGAAUGGAACUUUAUACUUCAAAAGGAGGUUUUGGUUUUAUGAGGUACUGCUUAUGUAAAUUGUUUAUUUUUAUUUCAUCAAAGCCUGGCAGGUAUAUGCAUUCCAAUUUACCAUUGGCAAAGCUUUAUUUUUAUUUUUAAGGUUGGAUGUUGAAUUAAUUUUGUGGGAAAAUGAGAUUUGUAAGUAGUUUACCUUCUAGAUAAGAUAACAGAAGCUAAACUUUCAGAAGUUAAGGAUGAUAAUAUUAAAAUGACUUGUUAUAUGUUAUGUUUGUAAGGGUUCCCUUAAGUAUCAUAACUAACAAUUUGUGGAAAUUGAAAAAGCAUAAACUGUGUUAUUUGAUCAGUAAUAUGUUCCCUUAAAAUUCAUUUUGAGGUGUAUGUUAUACACAUAGUAAAUUUUUGUUCAGGAAUGACUUGCUCAUUCUGUAUUUUUAAAAAUAGGAAAUAAGGCAUAGUGAGUCAUCAUUCAUCAAUUAACCAAAAAGUGUUUCAUCCCCUCCAUCACUGAAAUUAUCUCCUGUAGCCACCUUUCUUAUUCUUGCAUUAUGAGGGCACAUUUAUGGACUUAUAUUUCCAUGUGCCGUAUUGUCCAUUACCGGCAGUAGCCAAAGCUAGCUGUUUUGGUCCCACAGAAGAGACAGUGCUCUGCCAUGAGGACAGGGCACUGCUAGGACUGGUUUUUCUUGUUUUUCCCUUUUGGCGAUGUGGACUUCAAGAACUAGAUGUAUAUGCACAAGUUUUGAGUUUACACUAAAACUAGGAAGUGAAGUUUUCAAUCUGUGUUCCUGCCUCUUCAUACUUUUAUUUAUUUUUUGUCAUCCUGCCUUAUACUGGGCUAACAAUGAGAUAAAUUAAAAUGCCUUUGAAUACUCUUCCCUUUCAUGUAUUUAAAGCCAUGGAGGAACUAGACCAUUAGCUGUUGCCGUCACAUGCUUAGACACCAGUUUACUUAGCGUGUUAUGGCCUUCCUCAACCACACUACCAAAUUUAAGUGGGUCCUGACUUCACCCUCUGGGAGGAAGUAAACACUUCUCUCCCCAUGGUUUUAGAGCAGUUUUUACCUGCAAGCACCAUCUCUAUAUGUGUUCUUACUCGAUUGUACAGUUCUUGAGAGGGAUUGCAUCUUGGUGAUUUUUGUAUUUCCACCUCAACCCCAGCACCUAGCCCAGUCUCUUGCACAAAUUAAGUACUUAAUGUGUGUUGAAUUAAAUUGAAUAAAGGAUUAUUAGCAUUAGCA